This 297-nucleotide small nuclear RNA is filed under the name Cavia porcellus (domestic guinea pig). RNAcentral describes it as "7SK RNA". It matches the Rfam family "7SK RNA". Rfam says of the family: 7SK was discovered as an abundant small nuclear RNA in the mid-70s but a possible function has only recently been suggested. Two independent studies have found that 7SK RNA binds the CDK9/cyclin T complex (known as elongation factor P-TEFb). The record is from Rfam by way of RNAcentral. Lineage: Eukaryota; Metazoa; Chordata; Mammalia; Rodentia; Caviidae.
GAAUGUGAGGGCAGUCUGGCCAUGGUAUUUGUCACCCCACUGAUCACCAGGUUCAUUCAACUGAUCUGGAUGGCUAGCCAGGAGUCACCUUCCUUCCUCACUGCUCCAUGUGUGUCCCUCCCAAAUUGAGCACUUGAUUGUAGAGCACAGCCACCCUCUAUAGAGAACAACCAUUUCCUCAGUCAAAGGUAUAGAGUGGGUGUGGUCCCUGACCAGUACCUCCAAAAAAGCUCUCAAGAGAGGAGAAGUAAUAUCAGGAACACAAAUGAUAUCAGACUUUUCCACAUCAAUAAAUAU